UUGCUUGAUAGUUUAUAGGGAAAACUUCAAAUACCCCCCUUGUGGUUUCUUUUUUUUUUCACUUUAGUAUCCUGUGGUUUAAAGUGUUUCAAGUUAGUACCAUGUGGUUUUGCACUUUUUCACUCUAGUAUUCUGUGUUUUAAAGUAUAUCAAGUUAGUACCCUGUGGUUUCGCACUUUAUCACUUUAGUAUCCUGUGGUGUCGCAUUUUAGCACUUUAGUACUCUGGUUUAAAAAUCACAGGAUACUAAUUUGAUACAAAAAUAAAAUCAUAGGGUAUUAACUUGAUACAAAAGUAAAAUCACAGAGUACUAACUUGAUACACUUUAAACCACAGGAUACCAAAGUGAUAAAGUGAGAAACCACAAGAUACUAACUUGAUAUACUUUAAACCACAAGGUACUAAAAUGAAAAAGUGCGAAAUCAUAUUGGGGGGUUUUUAAAGUUUUUCCUAGUUCAUAUGAUCCGCUCGCCAAUGACAAGCUUAGUUGAGGAUACGAAAUAUAAUCCAUUCUUGUGAAAGUUCUGCGAACCAAAUUGCAAUUUUCAAAAGUUCAGUGGUUAGUAUUUUUUUUUUAUUUUAUUUUAUUUUUUUUUUUUUUGGUGGGUUUAAAUUUUCUCCAUAAUCCCUGCUUUGUGAAAUGUGAACGCCGGUGCCCACGUUACCGCAUUGAAUGUGUUAGUGUUUGUAUAAUUGACAUGUUCAAACGGUCAAAUUCAAUGCCUUGCUCUUUUAAGAUAUUGUACGAAAAAUUCGUGAAGUGUGGACCCUCUAAUUUCUAUCUAAAGAGGUUAUAUUACUAUGUCACUGAGGCUAUGGCCCAUUUAAAUGAAAAUAAAGCACAAAAAAAAAUUGAAGAGAAAUUAAAAUCUCUUCCAUUAUCUGUUAUAUGGACAAUUCAUUUAGUUUUAAGGCUACAGUAUAUAUGCCACUAAUUAUGUACUUAAAAAACAAAUAAAACCUCUAUUAUUUAUCUCACCACAUUUUUAAAAAAAUAUAUAAUUUAGUAAAUCCAAUCUAAUUCCUGCUCUGUUACUAUGUUUGGUUACUUUGGUAUCGAGGUCCCUCUCUCUCUCUCUCUCUCUCUAAAAUAAAGGAUGAGAAUAACAAUUGUUUUUUGAAUAAAAUAAUUAAAAUAAUAAUAGUCUUGUAAGAUAUACAUCCAGAUUGGGGUGUACAGCUGGCACUGCUCUUGAUCCUCAAACUAUGAGAUACAUGACACUUUAGUUCUCAAACUUUAAUUUAUUAUAAUUUCUGGCGGGAAUUUUCACAAUUAUUUCAAUUAAAUCCUACAAUCCAAUUAGUUAUUGGGGCAUUAUUAAUUAUAAUAUAAGUACUUUACCUCUAAAUUAGCGGUAUAUCAUCAAUAUUUAGUCAACUAAAUUAUGUUAUAGGACUUUAUUAUAAUAAUUUUAAAAGUUCGAGCAAAAAAUUAUAAUAAAUUUAAAUUUAAGAACCAAGUGUGCAAUUUACCUUAUUAACCAUUAUAUAUAUUCUUACUUUCUCACCGACGUAAAGUGAUUUUAUCGAAGUCCCAAAUAAAGCAUAAAGCUUAGUUUGGUAUUGAGAUCUAUUUAACGCUAUAUAAAAUGAAGUUGCGGUAAAAGUAUACAGGGAUAUGCUUCUGCGUUCUUUGGUGGGACCGCAGAAAAUAUAUAGUAACCGAGAUAUACAAAACGUAAUAUUACGUAUGUAAAUAAAUAUAAUAUUUUUCUAUCGUAUUUUCUUACCGUACGUAACGCAAUUUUCCCAACCCCAAACAAAGCCUAAAUUUCGGUCACGGAUGAUUGUAAUAUGUUUAAAUUGAUCC
This 1810-nucleotide long non-coding RNA is filed under the name Ananas comosus (pineapple). RNAcentral describes it as "long non-coding RNA (ACOM_LNC031116)". The record is from RNAcentral. Lineage: Eukaryota; Viridiplantae; Streptophyta; Magnoliopsida; Poales; Bromeliaceae.